This 254-nucleotide ribosomal RNA is filed under the name uncultured bacterium. RNAcentral's name for it is "partial 16S ribosomal RNA". It matches the Rfam family "Bacterial small subunit ribosomal RNA", at positions 524 to 776 of the family's 1533-position model. The record is from RNAcentral.
CACGUAGGGGGCGAGCGUUGUCCGGAUUCAUUGGGCGUAAAGAGCUCGUAGGAGGCUCAGCAAGUCGGGUGUGAAAACUCCAGGCUCAACCUGGAGACGCCACUCGAUACUGCUGUGGCUAGAGUCCAGUAGGGGAGCGUGGAAUUCCCGGUGUAGCGGUGAAAUGCGCAGAUAUCGGGAGGAACACCAGCGGCGAAGGCGGCGCUCUGGGCUGGAACUGACGCUGAGGAGCGAAAGCGUGGGGAGCAAACAGG